RNAcentral lists this unclassified non-coding RNA (777 nucleotides) under Zea mays. RNAcentral describes it as "misc RNA Zm00001eb115190". The record is from RNAcentral. Lineage: Eukaryota; Viridiplantae; Streptophyta; Magnoliopsida; Poales; Poaceae.
UCUGGCCUACUUCCUUCUCUGCUGGGUCUACAGCAUCUUCAGGAUGGCCCAGACGAUGAAGGCGCUGCGCAUGGCGAGCUCGGCUCACGGGCUCGUGCGCGGCGCCACGGUGGUGGCCGACUACAUGAAAGACAUCGUCGUCAAAGAGCAGCAGCAUGACCCCAAGGACAUGGACGAGUGCAAGUACCUGGUCGUCGGUGAGGACGACAAGGACAACUCCGAACCGCCGUCCAAGGUCGGGCCGCCCUACCUGACAAAGGUGGGCAGCAAGGUUGUCAAGGUCGGCAUGAUAUGGACACACAAGGGCAAACUGCUCCACUCUGCUGGUAGCGAAUGGGAUAGCGCAAGUGCGCUCAAGCACACAUGCCUCUCCUUCGCGCUGUUCAAGCUGCUGAAGCGGCGCUUCUGCGGCCUGGACAUCGCCGAGGCCGCCGACCAGAAGACGAUGGACUUCGUUGUCGACGGCCUUCUCGCCGUCGACGGAGGAGCGCGCUACGACUACGAGCGAGCCUUUCGUGUGGUGGAGGUCGAGCUGUCCUUUAUGUACGACUUCUUCUACACCAAAUAUCCGGCGCUCUUCCCCACCAACAGGCUGCUGGGCUUCAUCCGUUUCUUCGUCCUCCUUGGCUUCUUCAAGGUGCUCUUGGACUUCAUGGUGUUCGAAUCGCCGUCUGAUGAUGGUGACGAGCCCCCCGAGAACACCUUUAUCUACUUCAACAACGUCCUCCUCAUCGCCAUGCUCCUGAGCAUAGACAUUCUGCAACACCUGACUGCGGG